UAGCAUAUCAAUAAGCGGAGGAAAGAACCACCGGGAUUGCCUCAGUAACGGCGAGUGAAGCGGCAAAAGCUCAAAUUUGAAAUCUGGCUCCUUCGGGGUCCGAGUUGUAAUUUGCAGAGGAUGCUUCGGGUGUGGCCCCCGUCUAAGUGCCCUGGAACGGGCCGUCAGAGAGGGUGAGAAUCCCGUCUUGGGCGGGGAGUCCAUGCCCGUGUGAAGCUCCUUCGACGAGUCGAGUUGUUUGGGAAUGCAGCUCUAAAUGGGUGGUAAAUUUCAUCUAAAGCUAAAUACUGGCCGGAGACCGAUAGCGCACAAGUAGAGUGAUCGAAAGAUGAAAAGCACUUUGAAAAGAGAGUUAAACAGCACGUGAAAUUGUUGAAAGGGAAGCGCUUGCGACCAGACUCGCUCGCGGGGUUCAGCCGGCAUUCGUGCCGGUGUAUUUCCCCGCGGGCGGGCCAGCGUCGGUUUGGGCGGCCGGUCAAAGGCCCCUGGAAUGUAUCGCCCUCCGGGGUUGUCUUAUAGCCAGGGGUGCAAUGCGGCCAGCCCGGACCGAGGAACGCGCUUCGGCACGGACGCUGGCAUAAUGGUCGUAAACGACCCGUCUUGAAACACGGACCAAGGAGUCUAACAUCUACGCGAGUGUUCGGGUGUCAAACCCGUACGCGCAGUGAAAGCGAACGGAGGUGGGAGCCCUUUCGGGGGCGCACCAUCGACCGAUCCUGAAGUCUUCGGAUGGAUUUGAGUACGAGCGUAAAUGUGGGGACCCGAAAGAUGGUGAACUAUGCCUGAAUAGGGCGAAGCCAGAGGAAACUCUGGUGGAGGCUCGCAGCGGUUCUGACGUGCAAAUCGAUCGUCGAAUUUGGGUAUAGGGGCGAAAGACUAAUCGAACCAUCUGGUAGCUGGUUCCUGCA
RNAcentral lists this ribosomal RNA (908 nucleotides) under Aspergillus sp. DV-2018a. Its description in RNAcentral is "LSU rRNA". It matches the Rfam family "Eukaryotic large subunit ribosomal RNA", at positions 36 to 962 of the family's 3401-position model. Lineage: Eukaryota; Fungi; Ascomycota; Eurotiomycetes; Eurotiales; Aspergillaceae. The record is from RNAcentral.